This 916-nucleotide ribosomal RNA is filed under the name uncultured bacterium. RNAcentral's name for it is "bacterial SSU rRNA". It matches the Rfam family "Bacterial small subunit ribosomal RNA", at positions 109 to 1052 of the family's 1533-position model. The record is from RNAcentral.
AGUAACACGUGGGUUACCUGCCCUAGGAUCCGGAAUACCUGGGGGGAACUCCAGUUAAUACCGGAUAACGUCUUCGGACCAAAGCUCCGGCGUCCUAGGAGGGGCCCGCGUCCUACUAGCUUGUUGGUGAGGUAAUGGCUCACCAAGGCUGCGAUGGGUAACGGGUGUGAGAGCAUGACCCGUGUCACUGGGACUGAGACACUGCCCAGACACCUACGGGUGGCUGCAGUCGAGAAUCUUCGGCAAUGGGCGCAAGCCUGACCGAGCAACGCCGCGUGCGGGAUGAAGGCCCUCGGGUCGUAAACCGCUGUGGUGGGGGAGGAAAUUUUGACCUAUCCCACUAGAAAGCACGGGCUAAGUUCGUGCCAGCAGCCGCGGUAAGACGAACCGUGCAAACGUUAUUCGGAAUCACUGGGCUUAAAGGGUGCGUAGGCGGCCUUGAAGGUUGGAUGUGAAAUCCCACGGCUCAACCGUGGAACUGCGUUCAAAACCACAAGGCUCGAGAGAGACAGGGGUGAGCGGAACGUGCGGUGGAGCGGUGAUAUGCGUUGAUAUCGCACGGAACACCGGUGGCGAAAGCGGCUCACUGGGUCUCUACUGACGCUGAGGCACGAAAGCUAGGGUAGCGAACAGGAUUAGAUACCCUGGUAGUCCUAGCUGUAAACGAUGAGCACUGGGUCGAGGGGCUCUCGAACCUCUCGGCCGAAACGAAAGCAUUAAGUGCUCCGCCUGGGGAGUAUGGCCGCAAGGCUGAAACUCAAAGGAAUUGACGGGGGCUCACACAAGCGGUGGAGGAUGUGGCUUAAUUCGAGGCUACGCGAAGAACCUUAUCCUAGCCUUGACAGCCACGGAUACGCCUCCGGAAACGGAGGGCAGUUGCCUUCGGGUGAAACGUGGUACAGUGCUGCAUGGCUGU